This 442-nucleotide ribosomal RNA is filed under the name uncultured bacterium. RNAcentral's name for it is "partial 16S ribosomal RNA". It matches the Rfam family "Bacterial small subunit ribosomal RNA", at positions 338 to 795 of the family's 1533-position model. The record is from RNAcentral.
CCUACGGGAGGCAGCAGUGGGGAAUAUUGGGCAAUGGGCGCAAGCCUGACCCAGCAACGCCGCGUGAAGGAAGAAGGCUUUCGGGUUGUAAACUUCUUUUGUCAGGGAAGAGUAGAAGACGGUACCUGACGAAUAAGCCACGGCUAACUACGUGCCAGCAGCCGCGGUAAUACGUAGGUGGCAAGCGUUGUCCGGAUUUACUGGGUGUAAAGGGCGUGUAGCCGGGUUGACAAGUCAGAUGUGAAAUCCUGCGGCUUAACCGCAGAACUGCCUUUGAAACUGUUGAUCUUGAGUACGGGAGAGGCAGAUGGAAUGCGUAGUGUAGCGGUGAAAUGCGUAGAUAUUAGGAGGAACACCAGUGGCGAAGGCGGUCUGCUGGACAGCAACUGACGGUGAGGCGCGAAAGCGUGGGGAGCAAACAGGAUUAGAUACCCGAGUAGUC